AUACGUAGGUGACAAGCGUUAUCCGGAUUUACUGGGCGUAAAGGGCGUGUAGGCGGUCUUGCAAGCCAGAAGUGAAAUUCCUGAGCUCAACUCGGGCGCUGCUUCUGAAACUGCAGGACUUGAGUGCUGGAGGGGAUAGCGGAAUUCCUAGUGGAGCGGUAAAAUGCGCAGAUAUUAGGAAGAACACCGGUGGCGAGGGGGACAAUGAGACAAUGAACUCCGGCUGAGGCGCGAAAGCGUGGGAGGAAAAUAGGCGUAUCUGCCGGGUUAUGCAACGCCGUAAACGAUGAAUCCUAGGUGUAGGAGGUAUCGACUCCCUCUGUGCCGCAGUUAACACAAUAAGUAUUCCGCCUGGGGAGUACGGCCGCAAGGUUGAAACUCAAAGGAAUUGGCGGGG
Molecule: ribosomal RNA, 397 nt
Filed under: uncultured bacterium
Lineage: Bacteria
Description: partial 16S ribosomal RNA
Rfam family: Bacterial small subunit ribosomal RNA
Source: RNAcentral